RNAcentral lists this ribosomal RNA (839 nucleotides) under uncultured organism. RNAcentral's name for it is "SSU rRNA". It matches the Rfam family "Bacterial small subunit ribosomal RNA", at positions 38 to 868 of the family's 1533-position model. The record is from RNAcentral.
AGCUACAGGCUUAACACAUGCAAGUCGAGGGGCAGCAUUUUAGUUUGCUUGCAAACUGAAGAUGGCGACCGGCGCACGGGUGAGUAACACGUAUCCAACCUGCCGAUAACUCCGGAAUAGCCUUUCGAAAGAAAGAUUAAUACCGGAUAGCAUACGAAUAUCGCAUGAUAUUUUUAUUAAAGAAUUUCGGUUAUCGAUGGGGAUGCGUUCCACUAGUUUGUUGGCGGGGUAACGGCCCACCAAGACUACGAUGGAUAGGGGUUCUGAGAGGAAGGUCCCCCACAUUGGAACUGAGACACGGUCCAAACUCCUACGGGAGGCAGCAGUGAGGAAUAUUGGUCAAUGGGCGAGAGCCUGAACCAGCCAAGUAGCGUGAAGGAUGAAGGCUCUAUGGGUCGUAAACUUCUUUUAUAUGGGAAUAAAGUUUUCCACGUGUGGAAUUUUGUAUGUACCAUAUGAAUAAGGAUCGGCUAACUCCGUGCCAGCAGCCGCGGUAAUACGGAGGAUCCGAGCGUUAUCCGGAUUUAUUGGGUUUAAAGGGAGCGUAGGUGGAUUGUUAAGUCAGUUGUGAAAGUUUGCGGCUCAACCGUAAAAUUGCAGUUGAAACUGGCAGUCUUGAGUACAGUAGAGGUGGGCGGAAUUCGUGGUGUAGCGGUGAAAUGCUUAGAUAUCACGAAGAACUCCGAUUGCGAAGGCAGCUCACUAGACUGUUACUGACACUGAUGCUCGAAAGUGUGGGUAUCAAACAGGAUUAGAUACCCUGGUAGUCCACACAGUGAACGAUGAAUACUCGCUGUUUGCGAUAUACAGUAAGCGGCCAAGCGAAAGCAUUAAGUAUU